UUCGGCCAGGCCGGCCGGAGGCGACAGCGCCUGACUGGGCUCCUGAGAAGCUGGAGCCGCGUCCCGCGGCCGCAGGAGCAGCACCCCCGCCUCCUCGAAGGCUUCGCGGAUGGCACAGAUGCGCAGCGCUACGUCAUCGGGCAGCGCCGCGGGGUCCGCGUCGCCGUGGGACAGCCCGGGGAAGGGGGGUUGCCGAGGGGGCUCCGGGCCUAGGCCGAAGCGCGGCGGCGUGUGCCGAGGCGCGAACAGACGCACCCAGUCGGGUGAGCUGUCGGCCGCGUCCAGCACGCCGCCCGGGAAGACGUGCGCGCCGGGCAAGAAGCGCUGGUUUUGUGCUCGCUGGAGAAGCAGCAGCCGGAAGCCGGCCGGGCUCGAGUGGGUCCAGCCUGCUGCCAACAUCACGGUGGCUGCCCGCCGCCAGCUGCUCGAGCUGCUCAUGGCCGGCGUCCUUCAGAUCCCCCUUAGGAAGUGGCCGGGUCGUAGAGUGGUGUCCAGAAGCCCUAUAAAUGUUGAGGGCCUGAAAAAUCCGGCCUGGCGGCUUCCGGAGGUUUACUUGUGGGAGGAGCGUGAUUCCCGCGCCAGAGCACCUCCUCGAAUGCCCUGCGCUUCAGUCAGGGUCAUUCUCGCCCUGUCACAGCCCUGUCACAGCUGCUGCAGUCACCAGCCAGCCUCUGGGAGCACGGGUGCCAGUGUGGAGUGGAAAAUAAUUUCUAGUUGUGAACCUUUCCCACUAAACGCAAACGACUAGGACUUUGUCCCCUACGCUGGCCUGUUGCCUGUAUAGGAGGUUCCAAGGUGUCUGGAGCUCUCUUGAACCAUGCUAAUAAACGAAUGGGUGGAUCAGAUGCCAAGUUAGACUAACUACUCUGUAGUUUGAAUGUCUUUGGCUAGUCCCUGUCCCUUGGGGUAGUCUGUCUUAAGUUGUAGAUGUUGUUAUUGCCUGAGCACCUGAGGAUCAGGGAAAAUUAUCUUAGUGUGAUUAGUUCUCUUUCUACGUGGGAGAUGUUUAAUCCUAGACUAGCAAUGCUUCCCCCUCCUCUCCAACCUUUUUUCCUUUUUUCUUUUUCUUUUUGUUUUUGUUUCUUGUUUUGUUUUGUUUUGUUUUUAGACAGGGUUUCUCUGUGUAGCCCUGGCCGCCCUGGAACUCACUCUGUAGACCAGGCUGGCCUCGAAUUCAGAAAUCUGCCUCCCAAGUGCAGGGAUCAAAGACAUGCGCCACCACUGCCUGGCUUCCUCUCCAACUUUUAAGUGGCUGGAGGACUUGCACUUCUAUUUUGUUUUUUGGAAACAGCUUGUUUCUGUCUCCCUUUUUGCAGCUCUCUCUCAGUCACCAACUCUUGUAAAUCCCAUCCUAACUGAUCACAUAUUUUUAGGGUUUCGGAUGAGUUAGGCUGUAUUCUUGGGGCUAUAGAGAUGUUUUUUGUUAGUUUUGAGAAAGUAUUAUUAUGUAGUCUUGCUUUUUUGGGAACUUGCUAUGUAGACGACCAGGCUAGCCUUGAACUCACAGAGAUCUAUCUGCUUGUCUCUGCCUCCCCAAGUCUAGGACUAAUAAAGGUGUGUGCCAGCCUC
This 1569-nucleotide long non-coding RNA is filed under the name Mus musculus (house mouse). RNAcentral describes it as "RIKEN cDNA B230322F03 gene". The record is from RNAcentral. Lineage: Eukaryota; Metazoa; Chordata; Mammalia; Rodentia; Muridae.